Long non-coding RNA from Hippocampus comes (tiger tail seahorse), 994 nucleotides. RefSeq lists it as uncharacterized. The transcript has 5 exons. The record is from RefSeq and is a predicted model, not a curated record. NCBI's taxonomy places the organism in Eukaryota, Metazoa, Chordata, Actinopteri, Syngnathiformes, Syngnathidae.
CACAGGAGCUUUUCCUCAACCAACAAAGCUCGUUGACCUGUCGGUUGAGUGGGCGCACUUGUGGCUAAAAUAAAAUUGUGGCGGGGCUCUUAAUUCCUGGCCCUCUCACACUUACCCAAAUGGUCAGGAUCGUUGUCGAGCUUCCGCAGACCUUGCUGAUCAUCUGAUCAUUUGAAUCAGCUGUGUUGCACCUGUGAGAAAACGGGCAGCAGAGUGUCACCUGCUUAACAUAGGCGUGUUUGUCCUGCUUUUGUCCACCAGAUAGUGCUGAAGGACCUGAUGCAGGUUGUGAAGUCGAGCCGUCCCUCCUCAACGUUUGGACCUGUUGCAAAAUUCCAUGCCAAGUCCUUGAACUGUUGCUUCGCAGCUUGCAGUAAGAGUGCUGCCAGAGAUCCUCAAACUGCUGGGCCAAGAGACAAAUGCGACAAGCUCGAAGCAGUGUUGGCAGGUUUGACCACCUUGGAUGAGUUGCUGGACCAGUAGCAGCUUGGCCUAUUGGUGCUGAUCACGCUAGACCAGCUGUUGCAGCAAAAGGUUCCAGUCUCCAGUUGCUGCGGCAGCGUAGAGUAAAACGGAACUGCGUUUCAGAGUUGAAGGAAAACGUUUUUGGGUCCUCUGUGCCGCAAGAGGGGAGGAACCUGCUCACUGCCAGAGUCCACAGUCGAGCAGAAAACACUUUUUGCCCUUCUUCUUACUCUGUUAUUUGCAAGUGUCCCCUUCUCGAAGCGGCAAUAAACGCGAUCCGCUUCCUGCUGAUAAAAGACCACACCGCUUGUCUCUCUCGCUGGCAAGUUUCUUGCCAAAAACAUCUUUGUCUGUACAACAAAUUGACUUGUGUGGAACUCACGGAUGUCUUUCCUCAGGUCAACACACCUGUCCCGUGUUCCUCUCACGAGCCGACCACUUCGCUGCCCAGCAACAGACUGCCAUCCAGCUUACAACUUUUUCUUCUGCUUUGUCUACUCUGCAAAAGAAAUAAAGCUUGAUUACAAAG